This 234-nucleotide non-coding RNA is filed under the name Geobacillus sp. RNAcentral describes it as "T-box sequence". It matches the Rfam family "T-box leader". From Rfam's summary of the family: Uncharged tRNA acts as the effector for transcription antitermination of genes in the T-box leader family. T-boxes are found upstream of many aminoacyl-tRNA synthetase genes and some amino acid biosynthetic genes usually in Gram-positive bacteria. Lineage: Bacteria; Bacillati; Bacillota; Bacilli; Caryophanales; Anoxybacillaceae. The record is from RNAcentral.
GAAAAAGCGUUGAUGAGGAGAAGUAGGAAACAUUGGCAUCCCAGAGAGAAUCACCUUGGCUGGAAGUGAUUCAUGACCGAUGUUUUCCGAAAUGCCCCUCGGAGCCUCCUUUCGAACCGGAACAGAGACGUUCUGUAGUAGAUAGGAGCGGAGUUUCUCCGUUAUCAGGCUUGAGUGAGCUAAACGCACCGUUUAGCUAAACAGAGUGGAACCGCGCCGCUGAGCGUCUCUGUG